Arabidopsis thaliana (thale cress) is the source of this 246-nucleotide long non-coding RNA. RefSeq annotates it as other RNA. The transcript has a single exon. The record is from RefSeq. Lineage: Eukaryota; Viridiplantae; Streptophyta; Magnoliopsida; Brassicales; Brassicaceae.
UACGCAGUCAACGGACCAUCCUUUUUUCUAUAUUAAUUUCUAACUUCUAACUAUAACAUUCAAAAAGUCCAAAAUAUGUGAGGAAUGAUUAAUGUGAACACUGGUAGGUUUAUUUACUGUUUUUCCAUUUAUUUACAUUGACCUAGUGUAAUGGUAUCAUACUAUCAUCUGCAAUCUGUAGUGCCACGUCGCCCCAAAAAUAAUGAUUACCACAUCCACAUGCUCUUCUACUAAUUAACCGUUCCA